AAUAAAUUAAUAACAUUCACUCAUAUAAUCGCGAGGAUAUGGCUCGCAAGUUUCUACCGGGUUACCGUAAAUGAUCCGACUAUGAGUGAGCAAUGUAAAGGA
RNAcentral lists this non-coding RNA (102 nucleotides) under Bacillus sp. (in: firmicutes). RNAcentral's name for it is "Bacillus sp. Guanine sequence". It matches the Rfam family "Purine riboswitch aptamer". Rfam says of the family: Riboswitches are metabolite binding domains within certain messenger RNAs that serve as precision sensors for their corresponding targets. The record is from RNAcentral. Lineage: Bacteria; Bacillati; Bacillota; Bacilli; Caryophanales; Bacillaceae.